RNAcentral lists this ribosomal RNA (405 nucleotides) under uncultured bacterium. Its description in RNAcentral is "bacterial SSU rRNA". It matches the Rfam family "Bacterial small subunit ribosomal RNA", at positions 355 to 776 of the family's 1533-position model. The record is from RNAcentral.
UCGAGAAUCUUUCGCAAUGCCCGAAAGCCUGACGCAGCCACGCCGCGUGAGGGAUGAAGGCUCUAGGGUUGUAAACCUCUUUAGGCAGGGAAGAAAAUGACGGUACCUGCAGAAUAAGGUCCGGCCAACUACGUGCCAGCAGCCGCGGUAACACGUAGGGACCGAGCGUUGUCCGGAUUUAUUGGGCGUAAAGAGCUCGUAGGCGGUUCGGUAAGUCAGGUGUGAAAGCUCGAGGCUCAACCUCGAGAUGCCACCUGAUACUGCUGUGACUUGAGUCCGGUAGAGGAGUGUGGAAUUCCUGGUGUAGCGGUGAAAUGCGCAGAUAUCAGGAGGAACACCAAUUGCGAAGGCAGCACUCUGGGCCGGUACUGACGCUGAGGAGCGAAAGCGUGGGGAGCGAACAGG